Molecule: long non-coding RNA, 1050 nt
Filed under: Gossypium barbadense (sea-island cotton)
Lineage: Eukaryota; Viridiplantae; Streptophyta; Magnoliopsida; Malvales; Malvaceae
Description: long non-coding RNA (GBAR_LNC018675)
Source: RNAcentral
UGAAAUUUAGGAAAAUUUUACAAGAUUCUCAAAUUUAAUUAACCAGAAAUCUAUCAAAUUAAUUCCAUGAGUUUUUUUGGCAUUAUAUAAUUUAGGAACCAACCUUAGCCUAAGAUGCUAAUAAAUAAUAGCUUUCUCUGGGCAACUAAUUCAAUUAGUUAAAAAACAAAUCUUUUACAGUUCCUUUUUAAUUUCGUCCAUACCCCCAUUGUAACCAUGGGGUUUGAUGUAUUUAAGCACUAAGCCGACAUGGGGUGUGAAAUAGCUAUAUGUUCAAAUAGCUUGGGCCCUUGGGUGUUUGUCGACUUCAUUGGAAGCCCUCUUUUUGCUUGCUUCGGCUUCGGGAUUUGGGGACCCUCAGUUUUUUGCGCACAUUUUGUGAUGGUUGUCAGCCAUUUGUUUAAUGUAAUUCCAUUCCACUGACAAUAAUCUUUGCAUGCCUCUCCUCAGCUUAUUUAUAUGAAAAACAAAGGAUAGAUGGGUAGAUUACACAGUAUAGUGCAUUGAGAAAAUGUUUAUCAUUUCAGCACGGUGUAGGUUAUGAAGUACCAAUUCGUAGGAAGUGCAGAGUUUAGGUAGAAUCAGGGUUUGGACCCAAGCUAUCACUCAGCCAGAUGUAGUGAGUCCCGCAGAUGAUUGUGAUUCACAUGGUGGGUGUAUGGGGACCUCAUUCAUAUGUAGAUGAAAUUAAUUUCAUGGAAGCAUGAUACGACUCAAAUUUGAUGGUGGGUAUCGUAGGUCCACCAAAAGCAGCCACUUUUUAUUGCAAAAACUGUACGUCUCUGUCUCCCUCCAUAAUGGUGUUUUUCUGUUCUGUACCUAAAAGGGUUGCCGGUACGGUAUAAAUCGCCCGAAAUACAUAAGCAAGAGUGCCAGUUUAGAGGGGGGUUUUAGCCUUAAGAUGCUGCCUGGACCCCCUCCCAUAAUAGGUGUCACCUUCGACUACACACCGAUGCACACACCCACCAUUUUGCUGUCAAGUUACGUUAGGUCGGCGACCUCUUGGUUCAAAUAGCCACCCUCACUUCUACUUCACAAUGCUGUUUUCUC